UAGAUACCCUGGUAGUCCACGCUGUAAACGAUGAGUACUAGGUGUCGGGGGUUACCCCCUGCGGUGCCGCAGCUAACGCAUUAAGUACUCCGCCUGGGAAGUACGCUCGCAAGGGUGAAACUCAAAGGAAUUGACGGGGACCCGCACAAGUAGCGGAGCAUGUGGUUUAAUUCGAAGCAACGCGAAGAACCUUACCUAAGCUUGACAUCCCAAUGACAUCUCCUUAAUCGG
This 231-nucleotide ribosomal RNA is filed under the name Clostridioides difficile. Its description in RNAcentral is "partial 16S ribosomal RNA". It matches the Rfam family "Bacterial small subunit ribosomal RNA", at positions 779 to 1009 of the family's 1533-position model. The record is from RNAcentral. Lineage: Bacteria; Bacillati; Bacillota; Clostridia; Peptostreptococcales; Peptostreptococcaceae.